GACGAACCGGACAAACGUUAUUCGGAAUUACUGGGCUUAAAGGGUUUGUAGGCGGCCUUGUAAGUCAGGUGUGAAAUCCCUCGGCUCAACCGAGGAAUAGCGCUUGAUACUGCAAGGCUUGAGGGAGACAGGGGUAAGCGGAACUGAUGGUGGAGCGGUGAAAUGCGUUGAUAUUGGAAAGAACACCGAUGGCGAAGGCACUUUACUGGGCUAUUACUAACACUCAGAGACGAAAGCUAGGGUAGCAAAUGGG
This 253-nucleotide ribosomal RNA is filed under the name uncultured bacterium. Its description in RNAcentral is "partial 16S ribosomal RNA". It matches the Rfam family "Bacterial small subunit ribosomal RNA", at positions 524 to 776 of the family's 1533-position model. The record is from RNAcentral.